GCAAUUCGUAGUCUGACGGAGCACGCCGCGUGAGUGAUGAAGGUUUUCGGAUCGUAAGCUCUGUUGUUAGGGAAGAACAAGUGCGAGAGUAACUGCUCGCACCUUGACGGUACCUAACCAGAAAGCCACGGCUAACUACGUGCCAGCAGCCGCGGUAAAA
This 160-nucleotide ribosomal RNA is filed under the name Bacillus pumilus. RNAcentral describes it as "partial 16S ribosomal RNA". It matches the Rfam family "Bacterial small subunit ribosomal RNA", at positions 368 to 525 of the family's 1533-position model. Lineage: Bacteria; Bacillati; Bacillota; Bacilli; Caryophanales; Bacillaceae. The record is from RNAcentral.